CCUACGGGUGGCAGCAGUGAGGAAUAUUGGUCAAUGGCCGGAAGGCUGAACCAGCCAAGCCGCGUGAAGGACGAAGGUGCCAAGCAUUGUAAACUUCUUUUGUCAAGGGACAAAAUCAGGCUCGAGAGCCUGACCGAGGGUACUUGAAGAAAAAGAAUCGGCUAACUCCGUGCCAGCAGCCGCGGUAAUACGGGGGAUGCGAGCGUUAUCCGGAUUGAUUGGGUUUAAAGGGUGCGUAGGCGGACUGUUAAGUCAGCGGUAAAAUCCCGGGGCUCAACCCCGGCGAGCCGUUGAAACUGGCUGUCUUGAGAUGUCGAGAGGUAUGCGGAAUGCGCAGUGUAGCGGUGAAAUGCUUAGAUAUUGCGCAGAACUCCGAUUGCGAAGGCAGCAUACCGGCGGCGAUCUGACGCUGAGGCACGAAAGCGUGGGUAUCGAACAGGAUUAGAUACCCCUGUAGUC
RNAcentral lists this ribosomal RNA (459 nucleotides) under uncultured bacterium. RNAcentral describes it as "partial 16S ribosomal RNA". It matches the Rfam family "Bacterial small subunit ribosomal RNA", at positions 338 to 795 of the family's 1533-position model. The record is from RNAcentral.